Molecule: non-coding RNA, 109 nt
Organism: Elaeis guineensis (African oil palm)
Lineage: Eukaryota; Viridiplantae; Streptophyta; Magnoliopsida; Arecales; Arecaceae
Source: RefSeq, a predicted model, not a curated record
AGGGAGGUGAUGAUCCUUUCCCCACAUGAUCGACUAUGAUUAUAUCGUGCUUUUUGUAAUUUUUUUCUUCUCUAAUUCGAGGAGAAAUCAAGCCAGGAUUCUGAUCCUA